This 492-nucleotide ribosomal RNA is filed under the name uncultured bacterium. RNAcentral describes it as "partial 16S ribosomal RNA". It matches the Rfam family "Bacterial small subunit ribosomal RNA", at positions 29 to 507 of the family's 1533-position model. The record is from RNAcentral.
AGUGAACGCUGGCGGUAUGCCUAACACAUGCAAGUCGAACGGCAGCACAGUAAGAGCUUGCUCUUACGGGUGGCGGGUGGCGGACGGGUGAGGAAUACAUCGGAAUCUACUUUUUCGUGGGGGAUAACGUAGGGAAACUUACGCUAAUACCGCAUACGACCUACGGGUGAAAGCAGGGGAUCUUUGGACCUUGCGCGUUUGAAUGAGCCGAUGUCGGAUUAGCUAGUUGGGGGGGUAAAGGCCCACCAAGGCGACGAUCCGUAGCUGGUCUGAGAGGAUGAUCAGCCACACUGGAACUGAGACACGGUCCAGACUCCUACGGGAGGCAGCAGUGGGGAAUAUUGGACAAUGGGCGCAAGCCUGAUCCAGCCAUACCGCGUGGGUGAAGAAGGCCUUCGGGUUGUAAAGCCCUUUUGUUGGGAAAGAAAAGCAGCAGGUUAAUACCCCGCUGUUCUGACGGUACCCAAAGAAUAAGCACCGGCUAACUUCGUG